CGGAGGAAGGUGGGGAUGACGUCAAAUCAUCAUGCCCCUUAUGUCUAGGGCUGCAAACAUGCUACAAUGGCCGGUACAAAGGGCUGCGAUCCCGUGAGGGGGAGCGAAUCCCAAAAAGCCGGUCUCAGUUCGGAUUGGGGUCUGCAACUCGACCCCAUGAAGUCGGA
RNAcentral lists this ribosomal RNA (167 nucleotides) under uncultured Actinomycetes bacterium. RNAcentral describes it as "uncultured actinobacterium partial 16S ribosomal RNA". It matches the Rfam family "Bacterial small subunit ribosomal RNA", at positions 1164 to 1330 of the family's 1533-position model. The record is from RNAcentral. Lineage: Bacteria; Bacillati; Actinomycetota; Actinomycetes.